This 272-nucleotide ribosomal RNA is filed under the name uncultured bacterium. Its description in RNAcentral is "partial 16S ribosomal RNA". It matches the Rfam family "Bacterial small subunit ribosomal RNA", at positions 333 to 602 of the family's 1533-position model. The record is from RNAcentral.
UAUUUCCUACGGGGGGCAGCAGUGAGGAAUAUUGGUCAAUGGGCGCGAGCCUGAACCAGCCAAGCCGCGUGAGGGAAGAAGGUACAGCGUAUCGUAAACCUCUUUUGUCAGGGAACAAAGGCGGGGACUAGUCCCCGGAUGAGGGUACCUGAAGAAAAAGCAUCGGCUAACUCCGUGCCAGCAGCCGCGGUAAUACGGAGGAUGCGAGCGUUAUCCGGAUUUAUUGGGUUUAAAGCGAGUGCAGGCGGUUCCAUAAGUCUUAUUUGAAAGAC